UGUGAAUUUUGUUGAUCCGAGGCGAAGCCGAGGUAGACAAUACACCGUAACCGAAAAUCUUUCUUUAGCGCUCAUGUUAGGAAAAUAGCUAAAUAAUCCGACGAAAUCACAGAAAUCUCAAAAUUUGUUUCUCAAAGAACCAUAAAUGGAUGCGAGUAUAUGGACGUGUUAUAAAACGUUUGAUGGACGUUUGUCGUCGCAGCUAAAAAAAUUAAAAUUAAUCACCAAAUGUACACUCAAGUGAAUUGUAUAAAUAGGAAAAUGUAUUAAAAUUGUACAAAGCUCUAGGUUCUAAUUUCAAAAAAGAAAAUUUUAUUUGUAAAUAAUGCAAGAAAAUGUAAUGUUGACCUGUAAAUUAUAGUUUAAUUGUUUGUCCUUACCGCAAGAUGAGUAUAUGUGUUAAAUUGAAAUGGCUAUUGUUAUAAAUAGCUUACUUUACCAGAAAACCAGAAUUUUAGUCGAAUAAACAUUUUAUUAUAAAUUGAUUAUACCUCAACACCUCAUAAUAAUAUGUAAUAGAAGACGAAGAAGAAGAAGAAGCCUAGAUGUAAUUUCUGUUUAGUUUGGAUUUGAAAUUGUUAAGUGUAUAUUUGCAUCAGAACAAACAAAAAACCGUAUGUAUUAUAGUUAGGAGGAAAAAUAAUAAUAAAGAAAAAACCAGACAUAGAAUGAGAAAAAA
This is a long non-coding RNA of Bradysia coprophila, 679 nucleotides long. NCBI's taxonomy places the organism in Eukaryota, Metazoa, Arthropoda, Insecta, Diptera, Sciaridae. The record is from RefSeq and is a predicted model, not a curated record.